GAUCACACACACACCUUUGUGGGGUGGACUGAAUGAACAGCAUACGUUGGCAAACCACGCUGCUGUUCUCAGUACACUAUCUCUCAAGACAUUGCGAUCUGACCAGUGGAAAAACAGGAUGUGGUUAACUUUAUGGCUGUAAACGAUACUGACAUCUGUAGUGGUUAAAUAACUGCCUGCAUAUUGCCACGUAGAUAUGCUGUUGUCCUAUGUAUGUACGUGAUGUUAUACAAUAGUUAAAGGUCAUAGGCUGUUUAUGGAGAAAAAAUAAUCCACGCCUCCAGGCGGAGGUAAUAAUAAAAGCGGAGACCAGAAUUACGAGGGGGGCUCCGAAAUUGAACUCUGGUCUCACCGUGUCUCACUGUGUCGUGAUAUCUACAUCUGGUGACCUCGACGUGAUUCAGAACAAACACCCUCGUACCCACUGGCAGGAUCAGCCAACGGUGCACCUCAGCGUACAGCUCCCAUUCGUAGCUGCAGUACUGGCAGAAGUGACCAGGGAGAAACCGGUUCCGGCAUUUUCAGCAGUCGGAGUCUCUACCUGCCCCGCGGGUGCAGUUUCGGCAACUACCAAAUCCAGAGUGGAAAGGCCCAGUUCCGCUUAUAACGUGGGGUCGAGGUUACGCGGCUGUGUCUACGCCUGACGGUCCUGUGUGGGUACCUGCUAGGUGUAUCCGGCCCUGGAAAGACGAUGUCCUGGCACGAUAAUCUUAAGAAUCCCAUCCCUAAUUUUUCUCUGCAACUUCAGGAUACUGGGAUGUCUUCCAGGAAGCGUGGUCGGAAUGUUCCGCAACCUCCCGUGACUUGGGGCCAGAUAAAGAACUUAGCAACACAAGCAGAAAAAGCAAUGGAACAAGCCGGGGUGGACAAGACAACUGAGAACACCAUUCUUGCUUUAAUUGCGUCUUUAAAUACAAAUUCUAUUUUUGUACUUUGCAUUUGUUGGAUUUUAGGAAGCGCCGGGGCUGACAGGUUGGGGCAGGAGUUGGGGAUGCGGUUUCAACACAAUAUCUGGGUUCAGUUAGCAAGAAUGACAAAUGUGAGUGACUUUUGCAUGACUGAACAUGUACAGGAAAUGGGUAUGUUGGGAACAUGUUUAAUACCCGUAUGCAAAGCACCUGGGGAUAUUGGGAACAUUACAGGACUUGGGCGAUUCAUGAAUACUUCAGAGAUUAAAUAUCAUACUGUUUCGAAUUGGGGAACUCCAACCUUCCAGCUGCCUGUUAAUGCUUUUCAAUUAUUUACAUCACAUGUUGCAAAUUCCAUUAAUAAUACGUGUGCUCGGAUGGUUAAUUGUAGUCGACAUAAGGUGCAGAAGGGAUAUUUCUGAUACCAUCUGUUGCCUGAGUCGACUGGUUCCCAUUUUCCUUCAUAAAAGGGAGUUGCUAGCCCAACGUAGGAAUUGCUUAAUAAAGCAGAAAGUGUAUCACUAGCCAUCUCCCUUGUUGGACUUCCUGCAUUGGCAGUAAGUAACAGCAAUCAAUUACAUAAAUUAGCCUGUAAUUAUGUUAAGAUGAUAAAUGCCACCUCUCGAGCCAUUGCUUUGUUAAAUGAAGAGCAGGGUAUAUUAAGACAAGCUAUCUUGGAUAAUCGUGCAGCUAUAGAUUACCUGCUAUUACAACAUCAGUUGGGGUGCGAAACUAUAAAGAAUAUGUGCUGUUUUAAUUUAACUGACAACAGUUUUGAAAUCAGAACACAGGUAAAAAACUUGAAGGAUCUAGCUAAUAACAUUUUGCAGGACGCCCCUACAACUUGGUGGCAGUGGCUUUGGAGUUGGCUGCCCACUGGAUGGCUAAGUCAGAUUCUUAGAUAUGCUAUUCUUUUACUCAUUUUAAGUAUAGGCUUAUGCUGUUUUUUACAAUACCUUUUCCAGACGUGUACACCUGUUGCUCCGCGACCAUUACGUAGUAAUUACUUUUUGCUAAAAAAUAAAAAAGGGGGAGAUGUGGGGUGGACUGAAUGAACAGCAUACGUUGGCAAACCACGCUGCUGUUCUCAGUACACUAUCUCUCAAGACAUUGCGAUCUGACCAGUGGAAAAACAGGAUGUGGUUAACUUUAUGGCUGUAAACGAUACUGACAUCUGUAGUGGUUAAAUAACUGCCUGCAUAUUGCCACGUAGAUAUGCUGUUGUCCUAUGUAUGUACGUGAUGUUAUACAAUAGUUAAAGGUCAUAGGCUGUUUAUGGAGAAAAAAUAAUCCACGCCUCCAGGCGGAGGUAAUAAUAAAAGCGGAGACCAGAAUUACGAGGGGGGCUCCGAAAUUGAA
Long non-coding RNA from Rhineura floridana, 2267 nucleotides. RefSeq lists it as uncharacterized. The record is from RefSeq and is a predicted model, not a curated record. The transcript has 3 exons. NCBI's taxonomy places the organism in Eukaryota, Metazoa, Chordata, Lepidosauria, Squamata, Rhineuridae.